UUUAACUUUAUUUUAUUUGCUUCUGGGUCAAAGUCUAUUUUUUCAGGGACGAUGAUCACACAGAAACUUUGACCUUGGAAACUAACAACGAAACAAUUUCCAGGCAACAACUUAUAAUUAACAUUAUUGUAGCUACUACCAUUGUGAUAAUAUUUUAUUGACACGGCUAGAGAUGAAUUUUCCACAAAAUCGGAACUUUCAACCAGGGGCGGACCCAGAGCUUUAUAUUACCCAGGGCUAAAUUAAAAAUUUUAUAUUUUGGAAUGAACAUAAACAUUUAUAAGUAAAAAAAGUACAUCAAAUAAGGGGAUACAAAAAACCCUAUAAAUAUAUACUUUAAAUAAAAAUAAGUAUACAAAAAGACUAAAAAAUAAAAGAUAAUUCAAAUAUAAAAAUACUAUUUUUUUUAAUUAUGGAAUAUAACAUUGAAACAUAUAUUAACAUCUAAUUAUAUAAGAAUUAAAAAAUCAAUUAAGAAUUUCAAGUUUGAAUAAAUCAAUACAUGUAAUUAUAAUCAAUUAAAAUAUUGCAAAUAGAACUUUAUGUUUGAAAAGUACUUAAUUACCAAGCUUAAAUAAAUUAAACAAUUAAAAUUUAUUCAUCUUUUUAAAUUAUAAAAAUAUUAGUUGUCAAGAGUUUCAAUAAUAAAUUAAACUCUAACCUAGUAAAAAGGUAUUUAUGCGCCAUUAUUUAUUUGCCAGGCACUUUGACUCACUUUAAAAAAUCAUAUCAAAAUACUCAAAUGUUAUUUUCUAACUUAUCCUCUUAGUUAAUGUAACUAAUAAAUAAAAUCUCAACAUUCACAUAAAAAUUUUAUGAAAUUGUUAAUAAUUUUUAUUAUAUAUCUUUUUAGUAUUUUUAAUACUAGUGACAAUGUUAUAUUACAUUGACAUACUUUUUUAAAUUAAAAUUUUAAAAACAAAUUAAAGUAGUAAUAACAUUUUAGACCCCUAAUGUUUUCAUUCUAUUCAAUAAGUAUAUAAUUUAAUCAUUUUAUAAAAUAAGCCACUAAUAAAAAAAUAUAAUUGAAUUAGGGAUAUAUUUAAAAAUAAAGUAAAAACUCUAUUAUUUUAUGAAAUUGGAUGAAAACAUAAAAGCAACUGAAUUAGGGACUUAUAUAAAAAUAAAGUAAAAACUCUAUUCUUAUAUAGAAUAAUCUAAAGACAAGGGGUUUAAAUGGUUGUUUCUGGACUAGACCGGGCUACAGCCCGGUCUAGCCCAGCUGUAGGUCCGCCACUGCUUUCAACAAGUGUAUACGUACACAUGGGGAGCAUAUAAAAAAUUAUCUGGAAGAAUAGAAUUUCAAACUUUUGGACAAAAUUUUAUCUGCUAUCUUCUUCCUGAGUAAGAAAAACUUAUGCUUCUAAGGUUAAUUUGAAUCCCAAAUCAUGGUCAACUUUCAAUCAGCAGAACGGCUAGCAUGUUCAAUAUUACUACAAGUCAUUCGGUUGCCUGUACAAACAACUAAAGUUGAGCUGCAAGUUCACACUUUAGUUUUCCCGCGAUGCAUCCGCAUUCACUUCUUCAUAUGUACCAGUUUCCUCGUUGAACGAAUACCUGCAUAAAGAACACUUUAUUUUCAGAAUAGUUCUACAUAUUAUAAGGAACAGUGCAUAUCUUCUACUAGCAUCAAGAGGUAUUGCUGCAUUUUAAAUUUAAUGCCUAAAACAGGAUCCCACAAGCUACCAAGAAAAAUAGAAACAUUUGUAUCUCUACAAGGUCUUAAAAAUGCUACGAAAGAUUUUAAUAAUGAAAAACCACCUCUCACAAGAAAAAAAUCGUUUAUGUUUCACUAUGUCCAAGAAACUAAUCGUAUUAAGUGAAAAGUUACUUCUUAGUAAUUUAGAAUAGAAAAAGGCAUAUGAUUAUUUGCCUACUUUUCUAUCUGAGGACAAGCAUAAAGCAUUUGCUACCAAAUCAAUUUUGCACUUUCCAGACCAAGCAGUGUGAAUUUAGAAGUUCCCAGCAAGAAAAAAAGAAAAAGCCAAAAAUACGUUAAAAGAAAUAUGCAGUCAUACCAUUGCCCUGAAACAGCCGAGCAGUAAAGUCCAGUAGAUGGGUCAUAGUAAUAGCCCAAACUGCUGCUGUAAUAGUAACUGAAGGCACAAUUCAAGAUAUAACCGUUAGUACUACUGGAUAUGUGAGGACUGAAUAUCAUAAGAUUCAGCUGUAGACAAAGCAACAUCAGAAGGCAUAAGGAAAAGACAGUUGGAAAUGACAAUCCGAAAAACUUGUAAUAUUAUCAACAGCAGAGAGAACUCACUCUCACAAGCUGAGCUCAGAGCAUCUGAUGAUGAUUGACUGGCUGCAUUUGAAUUAGGACCCAAAACUGUAUUAAGCUCAUCAGAUGAUGGCUUCACAGUAGCAUCUUCAUCAUCAUCAGCAAACAUAUCAUACGCAUCAGCCUUUUCCUUUGACUGAGCUAACCUCUCAUAUCCUUCUGUAAAAGAGGAAAAAAUGCAUAAUCAAUCAAUAAGCCUCUUAUUUCUCUCCCCCUCUACCCAAACUUGCAUACAAAUGUGAAUGAAGAAAACGGUUAUUAUCUAUCUAUUUUAUUUUUUUUUUGUGGGGGGGGGCAGUUAAACCGAGUUAGUGCAAAUAAAAAUAGAAUGUAGAACCAACGUUGAAAAGAAAUGUUGUUCAACUUAUUUCUGAAAAACAUGUGAUACAAACUAAUUAAUUUGUAUCGUAAGAGAUUAUAUUUAGCCUUCGAUUAAAAUAAAAAUAAUGAAAUGUGCUUUCGACAUUAACAUGUUGUUUAUGAUUUUGAUAAAAAUUAGGGACCUAAAUAUUAUUACCAAUUUCUUUAUUUUCUAUUCGGGCUUUCUUAAUAAGAAGUAUCAUUGCAUGUUGAGUCCUAAUCCUCUUUUGAUUGGCACUUUGCUUUUUCAUGUGGCAAAUCACGAGGUUUCUUUCGCAUCUACUUGCCAUAAAGAUAAAAUAAAAAAUAAAAAUACAACAAAACAAAGUAGUUAACGCGUUCUUCUAUUUUUUUCUCUUUUACAACCAAAAAUUAUUCUCUCUCUUCUUUUUCGCUUUCUUCAUUUUUCUUUAGUCUUUUCAAUUUUUUUUUUCUUUUUUUAUUCAUUUUCCUUUUUAUUAAAUCUGUUCCCAUAGGAAACUUGUUAAUCUUUUGAUUUGCCUUUAAGCAUCCAAGUUUCACUCGAUGGCAACUCACAUAUCUUUCGCCUCGUGAAGGAAGGGGGGAAAAUUUAUUUUGAGUUUGGUAGGAUUAGUAGUAAGGAAGGAUAAAAUGGUAAGAUCAUAAAAAAUAUAACAGUGUAAUAAUGUCAUGAAAGUCUAGAUGUUUUUUAAAAUAUCAGGGGAAUUUCGGUUAGUUUUAUCAAGUAACAUGGAGAUAUUGCUCAUUCCGCCCCGCCCCCCACAGAAGGAUGGUGUAAAUAUUUAUAAUUGUUCCAAUAAAUUUGAUCCAAGCCGAAUCAUGAAAGAUCUCUGACUAUAAAUAUUAUUUCAAAACACUACGUGUGUUUUCAUUUUGGCAUUUAUUGGCAAAUAUUUAAAACAAAGUGUAAAUAAUAUUGGUACAUGAAUAUGCACAUUCAAUAAGGUUGCAUUUGGCAGCUUCUGUUGCACUGUAUUACAUUACAUGAAAACACUACUUUUAUACUAAUUUAUAUUUUGUUGCAAUUUCUAGUUAAAUGUUAAUUUAUAAUUAAAUAAAAAUUUAUUCAAAUAAUAAUAUAAGAUGGUAAUAAACCUAAAUAUUUAUAAAUAAAUGAUAAUAUAUUAUUUUACUUUCAUUACAUAAAAUCAUUUUAAUUAUUUUACUUCAAAUGCGUAAAAAGUAUUUUAAUUUUAUUUAAUAAGUUAUUAUUUACUAAAAUACUAAAUUUGAAAAUAAAUUUAAAUUAAGCAAUUAUUUUUUACAUUAAUAAAUAAAAUAAAAUAAAAUUUAUAAUUUAAUAUUAUAUAAGUUUAUAAUAUAAUAUAUGUUAUAUUAUAUUAUAUAAUUAUAUAGUAUUAUAUUUUUACAAUACAUUAUCAAGAUAUACUAUAUUUUAAUAUGAUUAUACUAUAUUAUAAUAAUUAAUUUAUAGAAAUAAAUUUUAUUAUAAAAUAACAAUGUAGCAUUUUAUUAUUUAAUAAAGUAUAUUAUUAAAUCAUCUUUCUAUUAUAAAAAUUAAUAUAUAUAAAUAAUUAUUUAAUACUUAAUUUCAAAAAUUAAUAAUAAAACCCCGCCCCCUAAAGUGCGAUAUACCAUAAUGUAAUAAAGUUAAUACAAUAUAAUAUAAUACAAUAUGCUAAAUGCACCAUCAACUGUAAAGCAAACCCAUGGUUAUUAGAUUGCCAUGAAUUAGAAAUAUUAUCAAAGAAGUGGAUAAAGCCUAAAUAUUGCCCUACCCCUAGCUGAUAUUAUGCCAUAUUUGUAAGUUUUGGAGAAUCAAUGGUUCUACCUAUAAUUGUGGAUGUCAUUUAAUUGAAAUAGCAAGAGGUUUGGAAUUUGAAUCCAUUUAAUGAGUAGUGCUACACAUUUGAGGUGAAAAAGUGAUUAAAUUACGGUUAGAUUAAAUAAUGAAAAAAUAAAAAAUAACUAUACUUCUAAUUUAAUUAUAUACCAAUUGACCAUUUAAUGAAUAGUGCUACACAUAAAUUUACCUAUUAAGCCGAUCUACUAUUAGAGUACAUACUUCCCUAAAAAAUAAUAGUAACAAUAAAAUCUACUCCGUACAGGUCAACGUUAGAGAAAAUUAAAAAGCGAAUAUGUAUCUAAAUGUUCCAAAGGCUGUUUUGGGGAAUAGGGAUGGAUGAAUGGUUCAACCAGCUCAAUUGAAAUUUCCUUGCAAUGGUUUUUAACUUUAUUUUAUUUGCUUCUGGGUCAAAGUCCAUUUUUUUCAGUGACGAAGAUCACACAGAGACUUUGACCUUGGAAACUAACAAUGAAACAAUUUCCAGGCAACAACUCAUAAUUAACAUUAUGGCAGCUGCUACCAUUGUGAUGAUAUUUGAUUGACAGGGUUAGAGAUGAAUUUUCUACAAAAUUGGAACUUUGCACAUGGGGAGCAUAUAAAAAGAUGAAUUUUCUACAAAAUUGAUUGACAGGGUUAGAGAUGAAUUUUCUACAAAAUUGUGAUGAUAUUUGAUUGACAGGGUUAGAGACGAAUUUUCUACAAAAUUGGAACUUUGCACAUGGGGAGCAUAUAAAAAGAUUAUCUGGAAGAAUAGAAUUUCAAACUUUUGGACAAAAUUUUGUCUGCUAUCUCCUUCCCGAGUGAGAAAAACGCAUGCUUCUAAGGUUAAGGGAGCUAUGUAUAGAAAGUCGAAUAAUUUGAAUCCCAAAUCGUGGUUAACUUUCAAUCAGCAGAACGGCUAGCUAGCAUGUUCAAUAUUACUACAAGUCAUUCGGUUGCCUGUACAAACAACUAAAGUUGAGCUGCAAUGUUC
RNAcentral lists this long non-coding RNA (5403 nucleotides) under Citrus maxima (pomelo). RNAcentral's name for it is "long non-coding RNA (CMAX_LNC000437)". The record is from RNAcentral. Lineage: Eukaryota; Viridiplantae; Streptophyta; Magnoliopsida; Sapindales; Rutaceae.